GCAAAAUGCGCGGACACAUCUGAACCGUUAGACACAAGUUGAGUAGAUAUCUACUUUUUUUUUCAACCCCUAUAAAGAGCUAGGGUUUGGCAGAUUGUUAAUGGCGUACAGUCAGGGUUUCUUCUUGAACGAAGAAGCGAUUUUUUAUUUGUUGUGUGUUGCAAACCAUUUUUCUGCGUUUUCAUGAAUUGUUCGAUGAGCGGAGUGGUUUCAUUCCUUGUUUAAUCAUCUGUAUCAAAGCUACAGGUUCAGAAUCGUAAGCUGAAUGGCGUAAUGUGAAGUGAGGGUCGUGAACUGCGAAGGUUUUUUCGCAUUCUUAUGAUUUCAAAAAUAGGGGAAGAGCACCAACAAUUAUUAUUGUGCAACCAAGUUCAUAGCUCAUAUAGCUCAUACACUGUAUAUUGUAUUUGCAUCUAUUUUUAGGUUGCGUUCCAUUGCGACUUAAUUGUUUAUAGACAUUGUUCUAGCUUUUGUGUUUUGUGUAGUAAUGUGAGAUCCCUUUUGUGUUAAGGGUCAAAAGCGAUCACAUUUAGUGCCAUCUCUAAUAUAUUUUGAUCUAUGUGCUGUGUUUUAACUAUUUUAUAAAUCGAUUCUCUCUGUUUUCUUGGUUGGCUCUCAAAAUAUUUGUAGCACUGGGUUACUUUUGUUGUGCUUGUCCCUCCUGAUGCCGUUGUUAUUUUAAGGAAUGUGAAAAGGAUCUCUGAUCCACCUUUUGCUUCAUUCAUGAUACUUUUAGUUUCAUUUUUUCUAAAGAUGUUCUUCUUUAACAAUGAAAAAACUGCUUUUAUGAUAUUUUUUUUUAUAUAUUCAAGAUUGCGAUUUCUUCACUUUUGGUCCCCUAAAUACGGGGGUAAAUGAGCCGAAGUUUAUCCUGUCUGUCAAAGUAGCUCGCCGAUGAGAUUCCCUUCUGUCAAAUUGAUCAAGUGUUAUUUUGUUAAACUCACGUUGAGGGGUAUCUUUUUAGUCUACUGCAAUGUUGUUUUGUCAAAAUCAUCUGCUGAAGGUCAUCGACUCAUCUGAUGCAUUUAGUCAGUGUUUUUUUUUUCGUUAAACCUUUACAUUGAGGGAUGCCUUUUCAGUCAAACUCAAAUGAUACUAUAGUAAAAUCUCACAGAGGGUUAUCCUUUCUGUAAGUUACCUUUUUAGGGGUUUACCAUCUGUCAAAUUUAUUCAGUCCGUGCAAGUAUUUAAUCUAGUGAUAUUCUGAAAUUUGAAUUGUAACUCAAUAUUACACAGCUCUGAAGAUGUACCAGGAGGAUGCUUUAAGCUCUAAAGAUUUCUUCUCUGAUAUUGCAUGUUUCUAUUUGUUGACAACAUUCUUUUUCGUUUGAGUAAUUAAUGUUGUCAAUAAAUAGAAAACAUGUUUUAUCAAAGAAGAGGUAAAACAGGUUUUUAGAGAAAGCUAUAACACGUUUUAUUGAAGAGGUUGGAUAAGGCUUUUGGAGUAAUAAGUAAAAUGCUUUCCAGGUGGCUUCAGAAUUGUAUCCUUUGCUUUUCUAAUAAAGCAACUCUUUUCAAUUAUUUUCUGUUUACCAAGCUGCUUUCUUUUCGAAAUGUUAAAGUUAGGCUCUAGAUUUCAUUUAGUCCUCCAUUUUCCAUCGAUGUAAAGUUUUUAAGGUCAUUUGGUGGGUGGAGAAGAUUGUGUGGAAAGUAGUUGCCUUUCAGUUAUUCUAACUGAUAAUCUUCGGCUGACAUGGUAUGUAUCAAACUCUUGGUGUUCAAGCAAAUCAAAGCAAAGCUGCCAACGCCUCAGCCUUUUAAACAAGAAGAUUGUCAAUAAGCAAAGAUGCCAAUGCCUCAGCCUCUCUUAAACAAGAAGAUUGUGAAGAAGCGUGUGAAGAGGUUCAAGAGGCCACAGAGUGAUCGCAGGAUUACUGUCAAGGAGAACUGGCGUAGACCUAAGGGUAUUUCUUCACGAGUAAGAAGAAAAUUUAAAGGAUGCAUCCUUCUGCCCAAUGUUGGUUAUGGUUCCAACAAGAAAACCAAGCGCUAGCCUUCUGGCCUUUAAAAGUUUGUACACAAUGCUAGGGGGUUUGUACAAAAGUUGGUAUACCUUUUGAUGAUGCAUAACAGGACGUAUUGUGCUGUUGGUUAUGGUUCCAACAAGAAAACCAAGCACUACUUGCCUUCUGGCCUUUAAAAGUUUGUACACAAUGCUAGGGGGUUUGUACAAGAUUGUGUAUACCUUUUGAUGAUGCAUAACAGGAUAUGUUGUGCUGAAAUUGCGCACGAUCUUCCAACACUAAAGAGAAAGGCUAUUGUGGAGCGAGCUGCACAGCUCAAUAUCAUGGCAAACAUGUUAGCCAGGAUACAAAGCGAGGGAUGAGUAGAAAUGGUUUUUAUAGGCUGUCACUGGAAUUCUUUUAGAAGUGGAAGGUUUGCAAGUUCAACUAGUGGAAGCCUGGCAAGGUUUGCAAGUUCAACGAAUCCAUUUUGAAUGUCCUUCAAGCACCUCAGAACCUAAGCAAAAGCUCUUUUAACCCCAAAGAACCUCUCUAAGAAUUUGUAGCACCUCAGAACCUAUGCAAAAGCUCAUUUAACCCAAAGAACCUCUCUAAGAAUUUGUAAGAUGAAUAGUGAAAAAUUCAAAGUGGGCAGCUAUACGAUGUCAUUUGUGCAAGAAAGACUAUAGGGGCAGCUAUUAUACUAUGUCAUUUUUGUUCAAGAAAGACUAUACUGCCCCUAUGCUAUGUUAUUUGUACAAGAAAGACUAUAGGGGCAGCUAUACUAGAAAUUAUCUAUGAGGGUAUUUCUGUGAACUGAAUUUUAUUAUCAAGUUGAAAUUUUUACAA
Cryptomeria japonica (Japanese cedar) is the source of this 2792-nucleotide long non-coding RNA. RefSeq lists it as uncharacterized. Lineage: Eukaryota; Viridiplantae; Streptophyta; Pinopsida; Cupressales; Cupressaceae. The transcript has 2 exons. The record is from RefSeq and is a predicted model, not a curated record.